GGAGGCCUGUGAUGAUCUGAAUACUUGCCUACAUUGUCAGAUUGUCUUAUAUGAUUGACUAAGGACUACCCAAGAUGUUAUCUGAGGCCUCC
This is a small nucleolar RNA of Carya illinoinensis, 92 nucleotides long. RefSeq annotates it as small nucleolar RNA SNORD34. The transcript has a single exon. The record is from RefSeq and is a predicted model, not a curated record. Lineage: Eukaryota; Viridiplantae; Streptophyta; Magnoliopsida; Fagales; Juglandaceae.